Molecule: transfer RNA, 77 nt
Filed under: Vulcanisaeta moutnovskia 768-28
Lineage: Archaea; Thermoproteati; Thermoproteota; Thermoprotei; Thermoproteales; Thermoproteaceae
Also listed under: 1 other name
Description: tRNA-Thr (GGT) (tRNA-Thr-GGT-1-1)
Rfam family: tRNA
About the family: Transfer RNA (tRNA) molecules are approximately 80 nucleotides in length. Their secondary structure includes four short double-helical elements and three loops (D, anti-codon, and T loops). Further hydrogen bonds mediate the characteristic L-shaped molecular structure. tRNAs have two regions of fundamental functional importance: the anti-codon, which is responsible for specific mRNA codon recognition, and the 3' end, to which the tRNAs corresponding amino acid is attached (by aminoacyl-tRNA synthetases). tRNAs cope with the degeneracy of the genetic code in two manners: having more than one tRNA (with a specific anti-codon) for a particular amino acid; and 'wobble' base-pairing, i.e. permitting non-standard base-pairing at the 3rd anti-codon position.
Source: RNAcentral
GCCCCGGUAGCUCAGCCUGGUAGAGCGCUCGCUUGGUAAGCGAGAGGUCCCGGGUUCGAAUCCCGGCCGGGGCUCCA